AAAGUGCCAUUUCCAUGGACAGGUCACCUUGUUGAAGACAUACCCUACCUAUCAGAGCUACGCUGCUCUUCCAAAGGAGGAUGAAACAAGCGUUACAGAUUCUUUCCUCUUACCUCUCACACUGAUAAAAGACAAGCAGGGAGGAAGAAAGGACUCCCUACCAUGGACCCAUCUUGCAGUUGUCAUUCAUAUGAAACACAAAGUAGAAACAUGAUCGUCUUUCCAAGUUUGUAAAAGAGGCCAGUGAAUCACAUUCUGCAAGAAGAAGAGAGUUUCCUAAAUGAGGGAGAUGUGCUUUUUUUCUCCUUGUCCUGUUGUUGGCAAAGCCUGAAAGUGGACUUCAACUUCACAGUGAAUUUUUACACUCUGGAUGGGCAAGAGUGUUUCAGGAGCUUGGUUUCUUCCCACUGUCUGCCCCCAAAAGAACAGAAAAGAUUGAGAUUUUCUGAAGCUGAACUGACUGACUAUUCAGUGAUUCACAGGGCAAUUGACUUGGGUAAGUCAUUUGAAACAAUUUUACAAAGAAACAGGAUUUACUUUGACUUUAACACAUCACUUUUUUUUUUGACACAUCACUUCUUUAAAAUAUCAAAAAUAUUUUACUAAAAAAAGCAAAAUCACUCACAGAAAUUGUGUAUCACUUAGAGAUGCACUUGCCUGACUAUGUUACUGAGCAAGCAUAACAGGGCUGUAAUAACACAUGCCCCCCUUUUGGAUAUGUUUUUGGAGACAGGUGGGAAAACACUGCUUGUUUUGUUAUUGUUUGUUUGAUUUGUUAAAACUGAUAUUUCAUGUCUUUUUGGUGAGAAAGUUUUUGGUUCACAUGAAAGAUAUUUUUCUGAAUCCUGAAUGAUGUCCAGUCCUUUUAGCUCCCUUUUGUUUAUUGAGUUUCCCCUCUAGAUAUCUCAGACACAACCCUACUUACCCUUCCUCUGUGGAACAUUUCCAAAAACUUUCUCACCAAAAAGGAAUGAAUUCUCAAAUAACUACUAAAUUGAGUAGGAUUUUAAGUCUAAACACUUCAUUAAUUUCCUUCCUUCAUUGAAGAGCAGAUGUUUCAGAGAAGAAAUUAUGAUCCAAUAAAUUGAACUGUAAGAAUGUAACUUCUUUACUUCUUGAUUUCCAGCUGCACAGCUGGGUCCCAUUGUGUUCCUCAUCUGUGGAUGCGUUCAAGCAGAGUUCGGAUGAUGACUUGGGUGAGAUGUUCUAGCAGAACUUUUGGUUCGGACGGGUGGGCUCUCCAUAUGGUCUAAAAGCCACCCUUCCAAUCCUGAGUUUUCAUGAUUUGUUUUUUCAACAUCUUAAG
This is a long non-coding RNA of Ursus thibetanus thibetanus, 1306 nucleotides long. The record is from Ensembl. NCBI's taxonomy places the organism in Eukaryota, Metazoa, Chordata, Mammalia, Carnivora, Ursidae.